This 392-nucleotide ribosomal RNA is filed under the name uncultured Chrysophyceae. RNAcentral's name for it is "partial small subunit ribosomal RNA". It matches the Rfam family "Eukaryotic small subunit ribosomal RNA", at positions 30 to 432 of the family's 1831-position model. The record is from RNAcentral. Lineage: Eukaryota; Chrysophyceae.
GCUUGUCUCAAAGAUUAAGCCAUGCAUGUCUAAGUACAAGCCUCAGUAAGGUGAAACCGCGAAUGGCUCAUUAAAUCACACCUAAUCUACUGGAAAGUUACUAGUUACUUGGAUAACUGAGGUAAUUCUUGAGCUAAUACAUGCGAAAAAUCUCGACUCACGGAGAGAUGCUUUUAUUAGAUGGAAACCAAUGCGGGGCAACCCGGUAUAUGGUGAUUCAUAAUAACUUUCGGAUCGAUCUUCGGAUCGAUGCAUCAUUCAAGUUUCUGCCCUAUCAGCUUUGGAUGGUAGGGUAUUGGCCUACCAUGGCUUUAACGGGUAACGGAGAAUUAGGGUUCGAUUCCGGAGAGGGAGCCUGAGAAAUGGCUACCACAUCCAAGGAAGGCAGCAGG